AAGCCUUCCCUGUGCGGCAGCCCCAUCGUGACUGAGCGACCCGUGCAACCGCUAAUAGACUGUACUAUCACCUCACUUCUUUUCUUUUGCGCCUUUGCCAAGCGCGUCUGUGUGUCUGUCUGUGUGUGCGUGUGUGGAGGAGGAGCAGGAGGAGGGGGAGGGCAAUGUCCUUUCGUGAGUUGCGCUCUUUUUCGGAGACAAUGCGUCUCCUCGGCUAUCCACAGCUGAUAAGCAUGGAGUCAUUCCGCGAGCCGAAUGUAGAGCUGGUCGCCGACUGUAUUCACUGGCUUAUCACCCGCUAUGAGCCAUCUGCGGAGGUGACGUUCAACAUUGAGCGGGAGCAUAACCGCGUGACGUUCUUCAAGCAGGUGUGUGAGGUCGCCCUCGCCAAGGGGAGAAUCAAGCUCAACGUGAAGAAGCUCUACCAGGCGGACGGGCACGCCGUGCAGGAGAUGCUGAAGCUCGCGAAUGUGCUGAAGAAGGCGAUGAAGGCGACGGACACCGAGGAGCCCGACUUCACCGCACUGCAGCAGAUGGCGGCGCAGAAGAACGUGAGCGACGCCAAGGCGGUGCAGCAACUGUGCAGCGAACUGACGGCGGACGGCAGCAGUCUCUUCUUCUUGGUCGAGGGAGAGCUGAACUCGCGCGGUGACCGCCAGCGCAUCUUGUCUCGCGCCACCGAGGUCGGCGAGUUCGAGCGUCGUCUGCGGGAGCUGCUCACCAACGUCACCCAGGAGGUGGACCAGUAUCAGCAAAGCAUCGUCAACCUCAGCGCGGACGAGAGCAACUUGGAGCAAAAGAUCGAGAACAAGAAGGCACACCUAGAGCGCGCCCAAAAGCAGUACAAAAGCGCAAUGGCCACUAACCCCGCCUUCCUCAAAGAGUACGAGAACCACGAGAAGAAGCUGCAUGCACAAUUCGUCGACUAUCUCGAGCAGUACCGCAACUUGGAGUUUCUGGAGCACCAGAUCGCCAAGUACAACGCCAAAGAGGAUGCCAUGCUCGAGGAGCAGGAGACAAAGCUGAAGGUGAUGCGGGAGCGGCUGCGCAAGGAGGAGCUGAAGAACAUCCGGGCGGACAGCAUGGCGCGCCGUCCGAGUGGACGUCGCGGCGGCGGUGGCGGGAGCCUGACGCCGGCGAUGAGCGAUGACGAAGACGAUGGGUACGAAAACGCCCCGCGCGUGAAUGGCGGGGUGCGCAUCCGCAACGCCGCCGAAGAGGAUAGCAGCGGCGACGAGUCCACCUCGGGUGAUGAAGGGAGCGACACCGACGACAGCAGGCCGCGUCAGCAGCGCGGUCAAAAGCAACAGCAGCGGCGGCGACCGCAGAACGCCAUUGGCCACAGCCGCGGUCCACUCGUUCGAGACGGCGCCGUGAACAGCGAUGAGGACAACCACGAUGAGGAGGACGAAUCGCUUGUGAACCAGAUGCGUCGGCCGCGAGUGGCGACAGGCGCGCGGCCGCCUGCCGCGGGAGGCGAGCGUUCGCGGCUUCUCGCCAACAAUCCUGCCGAAAGCGACUCUUCCUCCGAACCAGACAGCAGUGAGUUGUCCACCUCGACGAGUAGCGGCGAGUUUAGCAGUGACGACUCCAGCGACUACAGCGGAUCUGAUGACAGUGACAUUUAGGUGUAUACUGCAGCUGCGGCGCUUUUGCGAUCACCUGUGCACUCGUAGGAACGCGCCAGAGCGGACGCUCACUGUGGGCAGUCACACCUCGCUAAUCAGGGCUGCUUGUGUGUGUGUUUGCAUGUGCUAGAUGGAUGAGCUCUGCACAGCUUCCAGCGCUGUGCGUGUUGGAGGAUGCGAGUACAGCAUGUGCUUGUAUGUGUAGGCCUGUCGCUGUGUGUGCGUGCUGCGCGCCCUGCUUGAUGGAUGGUGUGCGCUGCGUCUUCUCCUUUACUUGCUGAUGCUGCGUAUUUUCAAGCUACGGGCCCUUGUAUUCCUCGCUCUGAUGCGCAUAUCAUCUCUCUCUCUCUGCAGCUGCCUCUUUGCGCCGACGCGGGCAGGUGACAGGAGAGAGACGGUAGCGAUAAGCUCACGAGGUGAUGGAAGAUCAAGGCACGCUGCCACCACGCCCCGCUUUUCCCUCUUGCUCCAUGCGUGAUCAAGCAACAGCACAAGCAUGGCGCAUGCAGUGUUGACUGAUGUUCUAUAGACGGAGAUCAUUGUGCUCUUCCUCCCCGUUCUUUUUUUUUAGGUUUUCAGGUUCGGGUCCUCUCCAGCUCUCUCGUAUGAUGGCACACGCAUACGCAAACACACACAGACAUACACACACACAUGCUGUGGACACGGCCCCUCCUUCUCUUCUUUGGGCCCCAUUCCACUUCCCUCCCCUUCUCCCAAACCCCCUCUCACGCACGAAUGCACUCGAGUGCUCCUGCCAGUCUGCUUCGGUGUUUGAAUGUGUGCGUGUGUGUGCGUAUGUGUGUGCAUAUGUGUGAUAUUUCCGCCCUUCCUCCUUUCCUGAGCAUUGAAAGUGAAGAAACGAGAGCAAAGGUGGCUUUGGGGGGAGGGCGACACGCUCCAACGCGCAUGUCCACCUGCCCUCUCUCCUGUCCUCUUACUUCUCCCUCUCCACCCAUGCGACACAGAGAAGAAAAAGCACAGGAAACCGUAGAUGCUGCUUUUUGUUCACUUGAUCUCCUAGGGGAAGAUGUAGUGUCAGCACCGAUCCUCCUCCCCACCCCCAUUCCCUGAUGGUGGUGGUGUACGCCAAAUGCGGGCACGUUGAUUGAAGGUGCGUGUGUGUA
RNAcentral lists this unclassified non-coding RNA (2752 nucleotides) under Leishmania donovani. RNAcentral describes it as "gene:LdHU3.25.1810(CDS-product:Putative_intraflag ellar_transport_protein_A1)". Lineage: Eukaryota; Euglenozoa; Kinetoplastea; Trypanosomatida; Trypanosomatidae. The record is from RNAcentral.